CCUACGGGAGGCAGCAGUGAGGAAUAUUGGUCAAUGGACGAGAGUCUGAACCAGCCAAGUAGCGUGAAGGAUGACAGCCCUAUGGGUUGUAAACUUCUUUUAUAUGGGAAUAAAAUGUUCCACGUGUGGGAUGUUGUAUGUAUCAUAUGAAUAAGGAUCGGCUAACUCCGUGCCAGCAGCCGCGGUAAUACGGAGGAUCCGAGCGUUAUCCGGAUUUAUAGGGUUUAAAGGGAGCGUAGGUGGAUUGUUAAGUCAGUUGUGAAAGUUUGCGGCUCAACCGUAAAAUUGCAGUUGAAACUGGCAGUCUUGAGUACAGUAGAGGUGGGCGGAAUUCGUGGUGUAUCGGUGAAAUGCUUAGAUAUCACGAAGAACUCCGCUUGCGAAGGCAGCUCACUGGACUGCAACUGACACUGAGGCUCGAAAGUGUGGGUAUCAAACAGGAUUAGAUACCCCUGUAGUC
RNAcentral lists this ribosomal RNA (460 nucleotides) under uncultured bacterium. Its description in RNAcentral is "partial 16S ribosomal RNA". It matches the Rfam family "Bacterial small subunit ribosomal RNA", at positions 338 to 795 of the family's 1533-position model. The record is from RNAcentral.